GGAGAGAUGGCUCGGUGGUUAAGAGCACUGAGACUGCUCUUCCAGAGGUCCUGAGUUCAAUUCCCAGCAACCACA
Molecule: transfer RNA, 75 nt
Filed under: Mus musculus (house mouse)
Lineage: Eukaryota; Metazoa; Chordata; Mammalia; Rodentia; Muridae
Description: tRNA-Ser
Source: RNAcentral